This 407-nucleotide ribosomal RNA is filed under the name uncultured bacterium. RNAcentral describes it as "partial 16S ribosomal RNA". It matches the Rfam family "Bacterial small subunit ribosomal RNA", at positions 30 to 526 of the family's 1533-position model. The record is from RNAcentral.
AUUGAACGCUGGCGGCAGGCCUAACACAUGCAAGUCGAGCGGAGCGGCGGACGGGAGAGUAAUGCCUAGGAAUCGGCAUGGUAGUGGGGGAUAACGUCCGGAAACGGGCGCUAAUACCGCAUACUAUCAGAUGAGUCUAGGUCGGAUUAGCUAGUGGGUGGGGUAAAGGCCUACCAAGGCGACGAUCAGGAACUGGUCUGAGAGAAUGAUCAGUCACACGGGAACUGAGACACGGGCCAGACUCCUACGGGAGGCAGCAGUGGGGAAUAUUGGACAAUGGGCGAAAGCCUGAUCCAGCCAUGCCGCGUGUGUGAAGAAGGUCUUCGGAUGGUAAAGCACUUUAAGUUGGGAGGCGUUACCAACAGAAUAAGCACCGGCUAACUUCGUGCCAGCAGCCGCGGUAAUUC